UACGGAGGAUGCGAGCGUUAUCCGGAUUUACUGGGUGUAAAGGGAGCGUAGGCGGUGCUAUAAGUCUGAUGUGAAAGCCCGGGGCUCAACCGCGGGACUGCAUUGGAAACUGUAGGACUGGAGUGUCGGAGGGGUAAGUGGAAUUCCUAGUGUAGCGGUGAAAUGCGUAGAUAUUAGGAGGAACACCGGUGGCGAAGGCGGCUUACUGGACGACAACUGACGCUGAGGCUCGAAAGCGUGGGGAGCAAACAGG
Molecule: ribosomal RNA, 253 nt
Filed under: uncultured bacterium
Lineage: Bacteria
Description: partial 16S ribosomal RNA
Rfam family: Bacterial small subunit ribosomal RNA
Source: RNAcentral